Molecule: ribosomal RNA, 253 nt
Filed under: uncultured bacterium
Lineage: Bacteria
Description: partial 16S ribosomal RNA
Rfam family: Bacterial small subunit ribosomal RNA
Source: RNAcentral
UACGAAGGGUGCAAGCGUUAAUCGGAAUUACUGGGCGUAAAGCGCGCGUAGGUGGCUUGAUAAGUUGGAUGUGAAAUCCCCGGGCUCAACCUGGGAACUGCAUCCAAAACUGUCUGGCUAGAGUGUGGUAGAGGGUAGUGGAAUUUCCAGUGUAGCGGUGAAAUGCGUAGAUAUUGGAAGGAACACCAGUGGCGAAGGCGACUACCUGGACUAACACUGACACUGAGGUGCGAGAGCGUGGGGAGCAAACAGG